RNAcentral lists this ribosomal RNA (430 nucleotides) under uncultured bacterium. Its description in RNAcentral is "partial 16S ribosomal RNA". It matches the Rfam family "Bacterial small subunit ribosomal RNA", at positions 354 to 796 of the family's 1533-position model. The record is from RNAcentral.
GUGGGGAAUAUUGCACAAUGGGCGCAAGCCUGAUGCAGCGACGCCGCGUGAGGGAUGGAGGCCUUCGGGUUGUAAACCUCUUUUAUCGGGGAGCAAGCGAGAGUGAGUUUACCCGUUGAAUAAGCACCGGCUAACUACGUGCCAGCAGCCGCGGUAAUACGUAGGGUGCAAGCGUUAUCCGGAAUUAUUGGGCGUAAAGGGCUCGUAGGCGGUUCGUCGCGUCCGGUGUGAAAGUCCAUCGCUUAACGGUGGAUCCGCGCCGGGUACGGGCGGGCUUGAGUGCGGUAGGGGAGACUGGAAUUCCCGGUGUAACGGUGGAAUGUGUAGAUAUCGGGAAGAACACCAAUGGCGAAGGCAGGUCUCUGGGCCGUUACUGACGCUGAGGAGCGAAAGCGUGGGGAGCGAACAGGAUUAGAAACCCCAGUAGUCC